Gossypium raimondii (Peruvian cotton) is the source of this 144-nucleotide non-coding RNA. The record is from Rfam. NCBI's taxonomy places the organism in Eukaryota, Viridiplantae, Streptophyta, Magnoliopsida, Malvales, Malvaceae.
UGUUAAAAUUUUCAUCCAUUUCUAAUGUUAAAAGUGGGUAUAGCAGAUGAAAUAAUCAAGCAAUUACACGUGGUGUGCCACAUGAACCUCACAUCGAUGUAUAGAAAGCAAUUUUUAACAGUAGAGAUGGAUGAAAGUUUAAUA